UACAGAGGUCCCGAGCGUUGUUCGGAUUCACUGGGCGUAAAGGGUGCGUAGGCGGUCGGAUAAGUUUGAUGUGAAAUCUCCGGGCUUAACCCGGAAACUGCAUUGAAUACUAUUCGGCUUGAGGUCUGGAGGGGGGACUGGAAUUCUCGGUGUAGCAGUGAAAUGCGUAGAUAUCGAGAGGAACACCAGUGGCGAAGGCGGCAUCCUGGACCGGCAUUGACGCUGAGGAGCGAAAGCCAGGGGAGCAAACGGG
Molecule: ribosomal RNA, 253 nt
Filed under: uncultured bacterium
Lineage: Bacteria
Description: partial 16S ribosomal RNA
Rfam family: Bacterial small subunit ribosomal RNA
Source: RNAcentral